Molecule: ribosomal RNA, 505 nt
Filed under: uncultured bacterium
Lineage: Bacteria
Description: partial 16S ribosomal RNA
Rfam family: Bacterial small subunit ribosomal RNA
Source: RNAcentral
GACGAACGCUGGCGGCGUGCCUAAUACAUGCAAGUAGAACGCACAGUUUAUACCGUAGCUUGCUACACCAUAAACUGUGAGUUGCGAACGGGUGAGUAACGCGUAGGUAACCUGCCUGGUAGCGGGGGAUAACUAUUGGAAACGAUAGCUAAUACCGCAUAAUAUUGAUUAUUGCAUGAUAAUCGAUUGAAAGAUGCUAUUGCAUCACUACCAGAUGGACCUGCGUUGUAUUAGCUAGUAGGUGAGGUAACGGCUCACCUAGGCGACGAUACAUAGCCGACCUGAGAGGGUGAUCGGCCACACUGGGACUGAGACACGGCCCAGACUCCUACGGGAGGCAGCAGUAGGGAAUCUUCGGCAAUGGACGAAAGUCUGACCGAGCAACGCCGCGUGAGUGAAGAAGGUUUUCGGAUCGUAAAGCUCUGUUGUAAGAGAAGAACGGGUGUGAGAGUGGAAAGUUCACACUGUGACGGUAUCUUACCAGAAAGGGACGGCUAACUACGUG